RNAcentral lists this unclassified non-coding RNA (145 nucleotides) under soil metagenome. RNAcentral describes it as "partial internal transcribed spacer 1". The record is from RNAcentral.
UAAUAAGUGUUUUAUGGCACUUUUUAAAUCCAUAUCCACCUCGUGUGCAAUGUCAGUCGAUCUUCUUCAUGGAGAUCGACCAAACAUCAACCUUUAUCUUUUAACUCUUUGUCUUAAAAAUAUUAUGAAUAAACAAUUCAAAAUA